UCAGUCCCGUGUGACGGCACAACCAAGCAUACAGUAGGAAGUCAACCCAGUAAAGGUGCAAUCUACUUUCAGUCCCGUGUGACGGCACAACCAAGCAUACAGUAGGAAGUCAACCCAGUAAAGGUGCAAUCUACUUUCAGUCCCGUGUGACGGCACAACCAAGCAUACAGUAGGAAGUCAACCCAGUAAAGGUGCAAUCUACUUUCAGUCCCGUGUGACGGCACAACCAAGCAUACAGUAGGAAGUCAACCCAGUAAAGGUGCAAUCUACUUUCAGUCCCGUGUGA
Molecule: long non-coding RNA, 286 nt
Organism: Oncorhynchus tshawytscha (Chinook salmon)
Lineage: Eukaryota; Metazoa; Chordata; Actinopteri; Salmoniformes; Salmonidae
Exons: 3
Source: RefSeq, a predicted model, not a curated record